RNAcentral lists this ribosomal RNA (301 nucleotides) under uncultured bacterium. Its description in RNAcentral is "partial 16S ribosomal RNA". It matches the Rfam family "Bacterial small subunit ribosomal RNA", at positions 509 to 808 of the family's 1533-position model. The record is from RNAcentral.
CAGUCGCCGCGGGAAUACGGAGGGUGCAAGCGUUAAUCGGAAUUACUGGGCGUAAAGCGCACGCAGGCGGUCUGACAAGUCAGAUGUGAAAUCCCCGGGCUUAACCUGGGAACUGCAUUUGAAACUGUCAGGCUGGAGUCUUGUAGAGGGGGGUGGAAUUCCAGGUGUAGCGGUGAAAUGCGUAGAGAUCUGGAGGAAUACCGGUGGCGAAGGCGGCCCCAUGGACAAAGACUGACGCUCAGUUGCGAAAGCGUGGGGAGCAAACAGGAUUAGAUACCCGUGUAGUCCCUGUCUCUUAACA